AGUGGCGGACGGGUGAGUAACGCGUAAGAAUCUAACUUCAGGACGGGGACAACAGUGGGAAACGACUGCUAAUACCCGAUGUGCCGCGAGGUGAAACCUAAUUGGCCUGAAGAAGAGCUUGCGUCUGAUUAGCUAGUUGGUGGGGUAAGAGCCUACCAAGGCGACGAUCAGUAGCUGGUCUGAGAGGAUGAGCAGCCACACUGGGACUGAGACACGGCCCAGACUCCUACGGGAGGCAGCAGUGGGGAAUUUUCCGCAAUGGGCGAAAGCCUGACGGAGCAACGCCGCGUGAGGGAGGAAGGUCUUUGGAUUGUAAACCUCUUUUCUCAAGGAAGAAGUUCUGACGGUACUUGAGGAAUCAGCCUCGGCUAACUCCGUGCCAGCAGCCGCGGUAAUACGGGGGAGGCAAGCGUUAUCCGGAAUUAUUGGGCGUAAAGCGUCCGCAGGUGGUCAGCCAAGUCUGCCGUCAAAUCAGGUUGCUUAACGACCUAAAGGCGGUGGAAACUGGCAGACUAGAGAGCAGUAGGGGUAGCAGGAAUUCCCAGUGUAGCGGUGAAAUGCGUAGAGAUUGGGAAGAGCAUCGGUGGCGAAAGCGUGCUACUGGGCUGUAUCUGACACUCAGGGACGAAAGCUAGGGGAGCGAAAGGGAUUAGAUACCCCUGUAGUCCUAGCCGUAAACGAUGGAUACUAGGCGUGGCUU
This 700-nucleotide ribosomal RNA is filed under the name uncultured bacterium. RNAcentral describes it as "bacterial SSU rRNA". It matches the Rfam family "Bacterial small subunit ribosomal RNA", at positions 94 to 828 of the family's 1533-position model. The record is from RNAcentral.